UACAGAGGGUGCGAGCGUUUGUUCGGAAUUAUUGGGCGUAAAGGGCGCGUAGGCGGUGCGGUAAGUCACCUGUGAAAUCUCCUGGCUCAACUGGGAGCUUGCAGGCGAAACUGCCGUGCUGGAGUGUGGGAGAGGUGCGUGGAAUUCCUGGUGUAGCGGUGAAAUGCGUAGAUAUCAGGAGGAACACCUGUGGCGAAAGCGGCGCACUGGACCACAACUGACGCUGAGGCGCGAAAGCUAGGGGAGCAAACAGG
This 254-nucleotide ribosomal RNA is filed under the name uncultured bacterium. RNAcentral's name for it is "partial 16S ribosomal RNA". It matches the Rfam family "Bacterial small subunit ribosomal RNA", at positions 524 to 776 of the family's 1533-position model. The record is from RNAcentral.